This 930-nucleotide ribosomal RNA is filed under the name uncultured bacterium. Its description in RNAcentral is "bacterial SSU rRNA". It matches the Rfam family "Bacterial small subunit ribosomal RNA", at positions 560 to 1501 of the family's 1533-position model. The record is from RNAcentral.
UUAAAGGGUCCGUAGGCGGGCAGUUAAGUCAGUGGGAAAGUCUUUCGCUCAACGGGAGAACUGCCAUUGAUACUGAUUGUCUUGAGUUAUUAUGAAGUGGUUAGAAUGAGUAGUGUAGCGGUGAAAUGCAUAGAUAUUACUCAGAAUACCGAUUGCGAAGGCAGAUCACUAAUAAUAUACUGACGCUGAUGGACGAAAGCGUAGGUAGCGAACAGGAUUAGAUACCCUGGUAGUCUACGCCGUAAACGAUGGUUACUAGCUGUUCGGCCCAAUUGAGGGCUGAGUGGUUAAGCGAAAGUGAUAAGUAACCCACCUGGGGAGUACGUUCGCAAGAAUGAAACUCAAAGGAAUUGACGGGGGCCCGCACAAGCGGUGGAGCAUGUGGUUUAAUUCGAUGAUACGCGAGGAACCUUACCAGGGCUUAAAUGUAGUCUGACAGGUCUGGAAACAGACUUUUCUUCGGACAGAUUACAAGGUGCUGCAUGGUUGUCGUCAGCUCGUGCCGUGAGGUGUCAGGUUAAGUCCUAUAACGAGCGCAACCCCUGUGGUUAGUUGCCAGCGAGUAAUGUCGGGAACUCUAGCCAGACUGCCGGUGCAAACCGCGAGGAAGGUGGGGAUGACGUCAAAUCAUCACGGCCCUUACGUCCUGGGCCACACACGUGCUACAAUGGUAGGGACAGAGAGCAGCCACUUCGCGAGAAGGAGCGAAUCUACAAACCCUAUCACAGUUCGGAUCGCAGUCUGCAACUCGACUGCGUGAAGCUGGAAUCGCUAGUAAUCGCAUAUCAGCCAUGAUGCGGUGAAUACGUUCCCGGGCCUUGUACACACCGCCCGUCAAGCCAUGGAAGCCGGGGGUACCUGAAGUCGGUCACCGCAAGGAGCCGCCUAGGGUAAAACUGGUAACUGGGGCUAAGUCGUAACAAGGUAACC